GACGAACCGAGCGAACGUUGUUCGGAAUCACUGGGCUUAAAGGGCGCGUAGGCGGGCUGUCAAGUCUGGGGUGAAAUCCCGCGGCUCAACCGUGGAACUGCCUCAGAUACUGACGGCCUCGAGGGAGGUAGGGGCGAGCGGAACUCUCAGUGGAGCGGUGAAAUGCGUUGAUAUUGGGAGGAACUCCGGUGGCGAAGGCGGCUCGCUGGACCUUUUCUGACGCUGAGUCGCGAAAGCCAGGGGAGCAAACGGG
This 253-nucleotide ribosomal RNA is filed under the name uncultured bacterium. RNAcentral's name for it is "partial 16S ribosomal RNA". It matches the Rfam family "Bacterial small subunit ribosomal RNA", at positions 524 to 776 of the family's 1533-position model. The record is from RNAcentral.